Molecule: ribosomal RNA, 497 nt
Filed under: uncultured bacterium
Lineage: Bacteria
Description: partial 16S ribosomal RNA
Rfam family: Bacterial small subunit ribosomal RNA
Source: RNAcentral
GAUGAACGCUGGCGGCGUGCCUAAUACAUGCAAGUCGAGCGAACAGACGAGGAGCUUGCUCCUCUGACGUUAGCGGCGGACGGGUGAGUAACACGUGGAUAACCUACCUAUAAUACUGGGAUAACUUCGGGAAACCGGAGCUAAUACCGGAUAAUAUAUUGAACCGCAUGGUUCAAUAGUGAAAGACGGUUUUGCUGUCACUUAUAGAUGGAUCCGCGCCGCAUUAGCGAGUUGGUAAGGUCACGGCCCACCAAGGCGACGAUGCGUAGCCGGUCUGAGAGGGUGAUCGCCCACACUGGAACUGAGACACGGUCCAGACUCCUACGGGAGGCAGCAGUGGGGAAUAUUGGACAAUGGGCGCAAGCCUGAUCCAGCCAUACCGCGUGGGUGAAGAAGGCCUUCGGGUUGUAAAGCCCUUUUGUUGGGAAAGAAAAGCAGCAGGUUAAUACCCCGCUGUUCUGACGGUACCCAAAGAAUAAGCACCGGCUAACUUCGUG